CAUGACUGCUCCUGAUGUUACGGCGGACGGGUGAGUACACGUGGGUACCUGCCUGUAGACUGGGAUAACUCCGGGAACCGGGGCUAUACCGGAUGCUUGUUUGAACCGCAUGGUUCAGACAUAAAAGGUGGCUUCGGCUACCACUUACAGAUGGACCCGCGGCGCAUUAGCUAGUUGGUGAGGUAACGGCUCACCAAGGCAACGAUGCGUAGCCGACCUGAGAGGGUGAUCGGCCACACUGGGACUGAGACACGGCCCAGACUCCUACGGGAGGCAGCAGUAGGGAAUCUUCCGCAAUGGGACGAAAGUCUGAACGGGAGCAACGCCGCGUGAGUGAUGAAGGUUUUCGGAUCGUAAAGCUCUGUUGUUAGGGAAGAACAAGUGCCGUUCAAAUAGGGCGGCACCUUGACGGUACCUAACCAGAAAGCCACGGCUAACUACGUGCCAGCAGCCGCGGUAAUACGUAGGUGGCAAGCGUGUCAGAUAUUUUAGGGGCCUAAAGGA
RNAcentral lists this ribosomal RNA (504 nucleotides) under Bacillus amyloliquefaciens. Its description in RNAcentral is "bacterial SSU rRNA". It matches the Rfam family "Bacterial small subunit ribosomal RNA", at positions 77 to 567 of the family's 1533-position model. The record is from RNAcentral. Lineage: Bacteria; Bacillati; Bacillota; Bacilli; Caryophanales; Bacillaceae.